GCCUGGGUGGCUCAGUCGGCUGGGCGUCUGACUUCUGCUCAGGUCACCAUCUCACGGUUUGUGGGUUCGAGACCUGCAUCGGGCU
Molecule: transfer RNA, 85 nt
Filed under: Felis catus (domestic cat)
Lineage: Eukaryota; Metazoa; Chordata; Mammalia; Carnivora; Felidae
Rfam family: tRNA
About the family: Transfer RNA (tRNA) molecules are approximately 80 nucleotides in length. Their secondary structure includes four short double-helical elements and three loops (D, anti-codon, and T loops).
Source: Rfam by way of RNAcentral